AAUGUGCAGAUGCUGGCCACCGGAAUCUCUCGUCACUUCACAUCUUGCAUCGCGCAGACAGGGGGCAUCAGCCUGCAGCGAGAGGAUCGGCAACAUCCGCGCGGCCGCGGCGUCGUGCCGGCCCACUGCUCGCAAAGGACAGGAGCCCAUGCACGGCUGCACAUGCACAGAAGCAGGCAAACUGUUUGGCCCGCCCAGGUUUUUCUUUCAAGCUCUGCCACUGCCGAAGACCACGGUGGGAGAAGUUUUACAGGAGCCUCGUCACCAACAGCGUCUGCAACGUCUCGGAGGGGACAAGAAUAUCGCCUGACAUUUUUCUCAAUGGUUCGAUUCCUAUAUCAGGUUGUAUGCGAUUUUUAUAAAAAUCUUUGAAAUCUGACAAUGUAUGGUAUAUCCGCAAAGUGAACGGUCUGUGUGUCCAUUCAUGAGUAAGGAUUGGGAGAGUUUGCACCUGGGGCAGAAGAAUUAGUCAAUUGCUCACUUCAGCGUCAUGUUUUAAUAUUGCUGUCUUGCAACUAGAAGUACUGGAGGGCUGGAUAAUAUUGACGCUAGCUAUCCAGCUAUGGUUCCAACAACUUGUGCGCUCCAAUGUACCUUUUUUAAUCCUUACGUUUACACAUAAAUCACAUUGCUUGCGGUAUCAGCACAAUCAAUUGUAACCGUAGUCUCUCAUUUGUAUGACAUUACAGCCAACAUUUAGUCUCUCAUUUGUCUUCUCAUUUAUAUACAGGAUGGCUACUGACUAAAUUCAGAUAUAUGGAGUUCCGGGAUCAGUUCUGCAACUUUUUUUUUGCGGGAAUCAGUUCUGCAACUUGAGCAAGGAAAAAAACACCAACUCCCAUCGCAGGGUCGAACUGCCGGCGCGCUAGGGUUAGCGUCGGCGCCAUCCCGAGCCCCACCCGCCUAUCGGCCCCUCCCGGGACGGCUGCUAGUUCUGGCACUUUGCCACUGUGAUGCCCACUAGAUCUCGCGCUUUGCGAGCGCAUGCCGUUUGUUCCUCCGCAUCUGCCACUUCGGUGCAACCACUCCGUCAUCCAUAAAUAACGUGAAGGCAAGGCUCCAUUCAAGGGAGCGUGGCUAGCGACUAGACCGUCUAGGUGGACGCGAUCUUGAGCAGCGAAGAGCAGAUGCUCCGACAAGGCGAGCGUGGUUUCAGGCGACUUUUGCUUAGUUUGCUAACGAGAUUUCUGUCUCUUAAGGCGAGCGUGAGGCCACGACAAGUGGGACGCUAUGCAGGUUUUGGUGAAUGGUGCCGCUGCUGCAGCUCAUUGGUUCUAGCCCGACAUUCAGCUCUGAAUGGACGUGUGUCAGGGACAGGAUGAUCACAAUCCAGGUUUUGACACGGAGGUCAGGACCAAGCUUUAGGCAGAAAAGUGGGACAAUCUUCAGUAAGCUACAAUGUUCAUGUCUUCUUAUAUCAUUUGACUGAUGUGUUCUUGUAUCAUUCUUCUACUUUCGGAGCUAUUACUGCGAUCAUUUUGACCUCAUGUCUUCUUAUAUCAUUUGACCUUAUCUAGAUAUUAGUGGUUCUUAAUCCAGCAAGGUCUUGAAUAUUUUUCGCUUUGUCCAUUCAAAAUUUUGUUUGUCUAGCAACGUUCAUGGUUUAAGCUUUGAUUCGAAAAACAACUUCAUUGUUAUAGGAGAGACAAAGAGCAACAACAAGCCACUGUAGAUAUCGUGUAGUAGCAACAUUAAUGAUCUGCUAAUGUUAUAGGUUUUUUUUCUUCUUUCCUUAAUAUUUACAUGACCAAUGUGUAUUUUUAAUGAUCAAACAUGCACAUGUCACAUUAAGAGGUUGAGAGUAGCUCAAAAGAUAUGCAUACAUCCUCUACCUUUUACCUAAUGAAAUAUUUCUAAAACCAUAGUAGAUGUCAGGUGUAAAUUCCUUGAAGAACUGUUGGUUUUUGUAAUUAUUUCGUGAAACUUUCAAUGUAGGGUUCUAGGAUUGGUGAAUAAGCAGGGUUGUUUUCUUUCUUUAGUAUCUGCAUGAUCAAGUCGGUCUGUACUUUUAAUGAUCAUACCUGCACAUGUCACAUUAAGAUUGAAUAUAUUGUGACUUUUCUAACCAUUCCUUGUUAAUUGCUUGAGGAAAAACUAACAGGAAUAUUUUUCUUAGAAAUCCCAAGGAAGUAAUUGUUCUCACUGUGUUGGUAAAAUAGCAUAUUUUUGUUGUAUGUAUACUUAAUUUAAGGAGAUGUAGAUUUUCUUAUUAUCUUAUAUAUGUUUCUUUUCUUUUUUUUCUUCUUGUGAAAAAUGAGUUCAACAACAAAGGGGUCCUCAUUCUGGCCUCCUGGGGUUGAAAUGAUUACUCCUUUAAUUGAUUUGAAGAUUGUUAAUUUUUUUA
Molecule: RNA transcript, 2344 nt
Organism: Triticum dicoccoides
Lineage: Eukaryota; Viridiplantae; Streptophyta; Magnoliopsida; Poales; Poaceae
Exons: 5
Source: RefSeq, a predicted model, not a curated record